Molecule: transfer RNA, 59 nt
Filed under: Gekko intermedium
Lineage: Eukaryota; Metazoa; Chordata; Lepidosauria; Squamata; Gekkonidae
Description: tRNA-Trp
Source: RNAcentral
AAACUUAAGUUACACUAAACCAGGAGCCUUCAAAGCCCCAAACAGGGCCCUAGUUUCUG